Molecule: long non-coding RNA, 594 nt
Organism: Uranotaenia lowii
Lineage: Eukaryota; Metazoa; Arthropoda; Insecta; Diptera; Culicidae
Exons: 4
Source: RefSeq, a predicted model, not a curated record
UGGAAACCAAAUCGUCGGAGUGCACUUGGCCUUGGUCCAGGCGAGGCAUUAUUGAUUAGAAUAAUGAUCCGAAACCGAUAUAAACUAGUAUGGCAUGUCCAUCGGCCAGCAGCUAUCAAGAUGCCACGGCCAACUAGUGAACCUUCAUAUAAGAGAAGCGACAUCUGAUCCCUCUUUAAAUAAAAUAUUUGGCAACAUCGCCGAAAUCUUGGACAAAAAAAUCCCCAGCACUGUUUUCUGGCUCAAUGUUCAAGCUCUAAAGUGAACGCUCCUUCAAUCCAACAAAACAACAUUGAACUCGAUGCCCGAAGGAUCGCGAUAAACGGUUCACUACGGCCAACUAGAGAAAUUAUCGUUGUACCUCCAUGACAACCUGGCUCUAGCCGUUCUAAGAUUUGGACGUCAGUUUUCAUUGAAGAUCGUUGGACGAUUUCAACGAAAACAUCGCUUGGUCCGUAUCGAAGUGGUUUAUGGAGGUGCCGUACAUAUUUGAGGACCGCAAUCUGGCUAUCCAACUGCGCAGAUAGGUCAUGCUGCUUUGAAAUAGGCUACAAAUCGGAACCGAUUCCGAAAUAAAAUGAAUUUUAAAAAUAA